GGCCCUGCGGGCUUCUCCGUGUCUCUAUGGGCCUCAGGCGUGGUGUGCGCGGGUAUCUCGGGGUCCCCGCCAUACCUGGUGAGUCGCGGCAUGGCUCUGGCCACAGGCGUCUCUGGGAGCGGCAGCAGAUAGGUCACUGUCUGCCGCUCCGGUGCUGACAGUCUCUCUGCUACUGGAGCGUUGUCCAGCUGAAUUCUGUCCCUAUUUCACCCAUGUACUUUCCUCAGGAUGCGAAGUCCACUGGCCACUGAACCCCACGGGAAGAGUACAAGGACAGCGAAAGCUAGGAUGGCCGUGGCUGAGAAGGUGAAAAGAUUUUUCUCAAAGUACUCCAUGAACAGACACAAAAUGACCACGCUCACGCCCACAUACCACGCCGAAAGUUACAGUCCUGAUGACAACAGGUUUGACCUGUGGCCCUUCCUCUACAACACGACCUGGCCCUGGCAGUUCCACUGCACUGACAGACACGUGAGUCUGUAGAGAACACAGAAGGUUACCUCUUCCUUCCCUGAGGAGAAAAAUGUUUAUGUGUACAAUGGCAUGUUAAUGUCCUUACUUCAACAAAAGGACAGGUAUGUUUAAAAGGUUUGGGGUUUUCUUUUUUAAACAUUCUUUUUUAGUUAGGGCCUCAAGUAGCCCAGGCUGACCUCAAGCUCUUACUGUAUAGCUGAGGCUGACCUUGAACUCUUGAUCCUCCUGGCUGUACCCCACAAGUGCUGGGGUGACAACGUGCACCACCACGCUCAGUUUAUGUGGUGCUGGGAAUGGAAUCCUGGGCUUUGUGCACGCUAGGCAAACCCUCUACCUACUAAGCUACGCCCCCAGUCCUCAGGGUGUUUUAUUGACGACAUAUGUAUUCCUGGUGAACAGUGUGUACACUGUGGAGUGGAUCAAGCUAUUGAACGUGCACAUUGCCUCACUCUGUGUGGUAUGUGGUAAGAAAAGUUAAAUUGGGCUAGAGUAAAAAAAAAAGAAUCAGGCUGGAGAGUGGCUCAGUGGUUAGGAACACUGGCUGCUCAUGUGGAGGACCUGGGUUCAGUUCCCAGCACCCACUUGACAGCUCACAACCACCUGUAACUCCAGUUCCAGG
This 1093-nucleotide long non-coding RNA is filed under the name Nannospalax galili (Upper Galilee mountains blind mole rat). RNAcentral's name for it is "lncRNA (ENSNGAG00000024529.1)". Lineage: Eukaryota; Metazoa; Chordata; Mammalia; Rodentia; Spalacidae. The record is from RNAcentral.